RNAcentral lists this ribosomal RNA (479 nucleotides) under uncultured bacterium. Its description in RNAcentral is "partial 16S ribosomal RNA". It matches the Rfam family "Bacterial small subunit ribosomal RNA", at positions 28 to 507 of the family's 1533-position model. The record is from RNAcentral.
GAUGAACGCUGGCGGCGUGCUUAACACAUGCAAGUCGAACGAAGCACUUAAGAUUGAUUCUUCGGAUGACGUCUUUUGUGACUUAGUGGCGGACGGGUGAGUAACGCGUGGGUAACCUGCCUCACACAGGGGGAUAACAGUUAGAAAUGACUGCUAAUACCGCAUAACCCGAUAGGAUCGCAUGAUCCAGACGGAAAAGAUUUAUCGGUGUGAGAUGGACCCGCGUCUGAUUAGCUAGUUGGUGAGGUAACGGCCCACCAAGGCGACGAUCAGUAGCCGGUCUGAGAGGGUGAACGGCCACAUUGGGACUGAGACACGGCCCAAACUCCUACGGGAGGCAGCAGUGGGGAAUAUUGCACAAUGGGGGAAACCCUGAUGCAGCGACGCCGCGUGAGUGAAGAAGUAUUUCGGUAUGUAAAGCUCUAUCAGCAGGGAAGAAAAUGACGGUACCUGACUAAGAAGCCCCGGCUAACUACGUG